AGACCCGAAACCCGGUGAUCUAGCCAUGGGCAGGUUGAAGGUUGGGUAACACUAACUGGAGGACCGAACCGACUAAUGUUGAAAAAUUAGCGGAUGACCUGUGGCUGGGGGUGAAAGGCCAAUCAAACCGGGAGAUAGCUGGUUCUCCCCGAAAGCUAUUUAGGUAGCGCCUCGUGAAUUCAUCUCCGGGGGUAGAGCACUGUUUCGGCUAGGGGGCCAUCCCGGCUUACCAACCCGAUGCAAACUGCGAAUACCGGAGAAUGUUAUCACGGGAGACACACGGCGGGUGCUAACGUCCGUCGUGAAGAGGGAAACAACCCAGACCGCCAGCUAAGGUCCCAAAGUCAUGGUUAAGUGGGAAACGAUGUGGGAAGGCCCAGACAGCCAGGAUGUUGGCUUAGAAGCAGCCAUCAUUUAAAGAAAGCGUAAUAGCUCACUGGUCGAGUCGGCCUGCGCGGAAGAUGUAACGGGGCUAAACCAUGCACCGAAGCUGCGGCAGCGAACGUAUCACCCAAGACAACUUUACGGAGUUGACGAUUGACGGAGCGAAGCGACGUCAAAGCGUUCAUUAAAGUCGAGUUGGCUUAGGGAUACGUUCGUUGGGUAGGGGAGCGUUCUGUAAGCCUGUGAAGGUGUGUCGUGAGGCAUGCUGGAGGUAUCAGAAGUGCGAAUGCUGACAUAAGUAACGAUAAAGCGGGUGAAAAGCCCGCUCGCCGGAAGACCAAGGGUUCCUGUCCAACGUUAAUCGGGGCAGGGUGAGUCGACCCCUAAGGCGAGGCCGAAAGGCGUAGUCGAUGGGAAACGGGUUAAUAUUCCCGUACUUGGUGUUACUGCGAAGGGGGGACGGAGAAGGCUAUGUUGGCCGGGCGACGGUUGUCCCGGUUUAAGCGUGUAGGUGUGUGUUCCAGGUAAAUCCGGUUCACUUUAACACUGAGGCGUGAUGACGAGGCACUACGGUGCUGAAGCAACAAAUGCCCUGCUUCCAGGAAAAGCCUCUAAGCAUCAGGUAACAUCAAAUCGUACCCCAAACCGACACAGGUGGUCAGGUAGAGAAUACCAAGGCGCUUGAGAGAACUCGGGUGAAGGAACUAGGCAAAAUGGUGCCGUAACUUCGGGAGAAGGCACGCUGACACGUAGGUGAAGUGAUUUACUCAUGGAGCUGAAGUCAGUCGAAGAUACCAGCUGGCUGCAACUGUUUAUUAAAAACACAGCACUGUGCAAACACGAAAGUGGACGUAUACGGUGUGACGCCUGCCCGGUGCCGGAAGGUUAAUUGAUGGGGUCAGCG
RNAcentral lists this ribosomal RNA (1288 nucleotides) under Salmonella enterica. RNAcentral describes it as "partial 23S ribosomal RNA". It matches the Rfam family "Bacterial large subunit ribosomal RNA", at positions 711 to 1895 of the family's 2925-position model. Lineage: Bacteria; Pseudomonadati; Pseudomonadota; Gammaproteobacteria; Enterobacterales; Enterobacteriaceae. RNAcentral also lists the same sequence under 1 other name. The record is from RNAcentral.